UUUAGGUUGUUUCUCUUUAUCCUUUGGUUGAAACAUCACACCAGGUGCUGGAGUUGGGAAAAAUAGGGAAACGAGGUGUCGACAAGGUGCAUUAGCGUAAUGCGAUUGACUGAGAAGAGAAAUGCUACCUUCUAAUUGGCAAAUCAUGAUAUCAACCCAACAAACCUGGCUUGAAAUCUAAAAGUCAGGAUUAUGCGCAUGUACGAGUUUCCUAGCAAGUGGAACCCAAGAGAGAUUUACAACAUGAAGUUGGUGCUUCAAGAUGAAUGGGGUGAUCGUAUACACUACUCCAUCCCGAAAUCAAAUAUGGUGGUAUUUAGGACAUUGGUUUGUGAGCACGAACUUUAUGCAAUGAGGAAUUUUAUUGUGUAAGCGGUAGGACAAUCUAUACAAACAACUAGCCACAAGUAUAAACUAAGCUUUUAUAGCAAGACCUCUGUCAGUUUGCUUCCCAAAAAUAGUUUCCUGUUUAAUCCUUUUUAGUUUAUCUCAUAUGAAAAGAUUGAGGCAAUGGUUGGUGUGAACAAGAACAACUUGCUAGACUGCAUGGGUCAUGUUGUAGGAAGAAAGGACGUUACACCAUUGGUUACAAAAUCAGAAGAUGAGAGAAAAUGCAUUAAACUACACUUGGAAGAUCUAGAGUCCGUUUCCUGUUUAUUUUCAAAUUCUUUUUUUCAGUUUUGUGAUUUUCCAUUGAUUUAUCAUUUGGGUGGGCUUUGUUUACAUUGUUUAUCCUUAUAUUUUGUUCCACUUAAAAAAUUAGAAAAAAUUCCAUGAAGUGCACCCUCUUUGGUGACUUGGUUGACAAAGCCCUUGGCUUAUUUGAUAAAGAUAAUGGUCAGUCUAUUAUCUUGGUGGCACAACUCUUUAAGUCUAGUUUCUAUCUCAAUGAGGUCAAUGUUCAAAAUAGCCUUUAUGCCUUUCGCCUAUUUUUUAACUCCCAAGAUCUCGAUGUCCUUGUAUUCAAGAAUAGGUGUGUUCAAGAUUCGUAGUCUGUUCUCACUUAACUGGCUCCCUUAUUUCAUUAAUUUCACUAUAAUAUCUUCGUAAGGUUGUUUGCCUAUUUUAUCUCAUGUACUUAAGAUUAAUAAAGAGAGGUGAUAUAAAGGCUCAGCGUAUUAAUUAUAUACAAAGCCAGCCCAUAAAUUCAGUUAGUGAUGAGUUGUCUGGCGAUUCCUUACCAAUCACUACUAUUGAGGAGGUUUUGAACAAAACUAAUGAAACUUCAUGUUGGAUACAAGCCACUGUGGUUUUUAUUGAAGUUAAUGGCAGUGACUGUUAUUAUGCUUUGUGCAAGAGUUGUCCUAGAAAAGUGAAGGAGAAUAAAGGACGUUAUCUGUGCGAGCAUUGUGGAAAAAUUAGUUUCAAUGUUCCUCUAAGGUAUCGUCUUCAUGUUAUUGCCACUAAUGGUACUGGCUAUAUUGGCCUAAUCAUUUGGAACCAGGAGGCCAAACUGGUUGUUGGAAAGUCUGCAAGUGAAGUCAAAGACCUCAGUGUAAGUUUUUUAAUAUUUGUGUGGAAAAUAAUUUAAUGCGAGACAUUCAUUAGAGAGUAAUGAAUAAUGAACUGAUUCUUUUUCCUAAAUCAAGAGAGAAGAAAUUGUGGCAUGCUAUCCCAAAGUUUUGGAUAGCAUUGUAGACAAGAAAUUUCUAUUUAAAUUGUCCAUUACCAAGAAAAAUCUCACCUCAAUUGAUUAAGUAUAUAAUGUUAUUAAGAUCAGCGAUGAUGACACACUCGUUACCCUUUAUGAGUCCCAGUCUUCCUCUAUAGAUAUGGUGAUGUAUUUUCUAUUUUUUAAUUGUUAUGUUGUUCUGUAUUUGCUUUGUUAUUGUAGUGAUCACAUUAUUUUUUUCAAUAAUGACCUCUUAAGGAGUUGACCAAGGUGUUUCCAAUCUAUUGCCUGCAUCCUUUACUAAUGAGGCUAAGUUUGAUGUACAUUCUGCUACAGUUGUGUCUUUAUCUAAGGUUUGUAUAUCAAUGAAACAUGCAUAGAACAUCUGAUGUGAACAAAUUUUAUCAAUCCCUACCUCUUAAGAUCUAUCUUUUUUGAGAUGUGUUGUUACGCAUGCAGAAUUCAAGUUUAGAGAGCAUUUUUGAGUGCGGUCUUGAGACUUCUAGCAAGGGUGUUGUGGCUAAUUCAAAUGCAGGUGCUGCUAUUGUUGGGGUGUAUUGUCCAGAUGUUCAGGGCUCUACAAUCAAGACAUUGAAAGGUCUUGCUAGGAAAAGGAAGCAUGAGUAGUUAGUAUACAUAGGCUUCGGUUAAUGGGAAAUCUGAGGAAGAGAUUUCCAACUUAGUUGAAAAUGCUCCUUUUUUUACGUACUUUUUGCUUUAAUGUCAUCUUUAGUUGGGUUCUGCACGAGAACUUAUUUGAAAGUUUAUUGUAAGAACUCUAUAUAUGUAUGUCAUUUA
Molecule: long non-coding RNA, 2410 nt
Organism: Arachis ipaensis
Lineage: Eukaryota; Viridiplantae; Streptophyta; Magnoliopsida; Fabales; Fabaceae
Source: RefSeq, a predicted model, not a curated record